UGGGGAAUAUUGCACAAUGGGCGAAAGCAUGAUGCAGCGACGCCGCGUGAGGGAUGACGGCCUUCGGGUUGUAACCCUCUUUCAGCAGGGACGAAGCGCAAGUGACGGUACCUGCAGAAGAAGCACCGGCUAACUACGUGCCAGCAGCCGCGGUAAUACGUAGGGUGCAAGCGUUGUCCGGAAUUACUGGGCGUAAAGAGUUCUUAGGCGGUUUGUCGCGUCGUCUGUGAAAACCAGCAGCUCGACUGCUGGCUUGCAGUCGAUACGGGCAGACUUGAGUACUGCAGGGGAGACUGGAAUUCCUGGUGUAGCGGUGAAAUGCGCAGAUAUCAGGAGGAACACCGGUGGCGAAGGCGGGUCUCUGGGCAGUAACAGACGCUGAGGAACGAAAGCGUGGGUAGCGAACAGG
RNAcentral lists this ribosomal RNA (409 nucleotides) under bacterium. RNAcentral describes it as "partial 16S ribosomal RNA". It matches the Rfam family "Bacterial small subunit ribosomal RNA", at positions 355 to 776 of the family's 1533-position model. The record is from RNAcentral.